Molecule: ribosomal RNA, 526 nt
Filed under: Anaplasma marginale
Lineage: Bacteria; Pseudomonadati; Pseudomonadota; Alphaproteobacteria; Rickettsiales; Anaplasmataceae
Description: bacterial SSU rRNA
Rfam family: Bacterial small subunit ribosomal RNA
Source: RNAcentral
UUAGUGGCAGACGGGUGAGUAAUGCAUAGGAAUCUACCUAGUAGUAUGGGAUAGCCACUAGAAAUGGUGGGUAAUACUGUAUAAUCCCUGCGGGGGAAAGAUUUAUCGCUAUUAGAUGAGCCUAUGUUAGAUUAGCUAGUUGGUAGGGUAAAGGCCUACCAAGGCAGUGAUCUAUAGCUGGUCUGAGAGGAUGAUCAGCCACACUGGAACUGAGAUACGGUCCAGACUCCUACGGGAGGCAGCAGUGGGGAAUAUUGGACAAUGGGCGCAAGCCUGAUCCAGCUAUGCCGCGUGAGUGAGGAAGGCCUUAGGGUUGUAAAACUCUUUCAGUAGGGAAGAUAAUGACGGUACCUACAGAAGAGGUCCCGGCAAACUCCGUGCCAGCAGCCGCGGUAAUACGGAGGGGGCAAGCGUUGUUCGGAAUUAUUGGGCGUAAAGGGCAUGUAGGCGGUUUGGUAAGUUAAAGGUGAAAUACCAGGGCUUAACCCUGGGGCUGCUUUUAAUACUGCAGGACUAGAGUCCGGAA